RNAcentral lists this microRNA precursor (98 nucleotides) under Ovis aries (sheep). RNAcentral's name for it is "miRNA (ENSOARG00000022794.1)". Lineage: Eukaryota; Metazoa; Chordata; Mammalia; Artiodactyla; Bovidae. The record is from RNAcentral.
AGUUAGAUCAAGCUGGCCAAAAGGUUCAUUCCGGUUUUUCUGUAUCAGCUUACCGAAAAACCCGAACAAACUUCUUGCCCAACUCAAUAUAAUAAGCC